Molecule: ribosomal RNA, 443 nt
Filed under: uncultured Streptococcus sp.
Lineage: Bacteria; Bacillati; Bacillota; Bacilli; Lactobacillales; Streptococcaceae
Description: bacterial SSU rRNA
Rfam family: Bacterial small subunit ribosomal RNA
Source: RNAcentral
AGCAUGUGGUUAAUUCGAAGUCAACGCGAAGAACCUUACCAGGUCUUGACAUCCCGAUGCUAUUUCUAGAGAUAGAAAGUUACUUCGGUACAUCGGUGACAGGUGGUGCAUGGUUGUCGUCAGCUCGUGUUGUGAGAUGUUGGGUUAAGUCCCGCAACGAGCGCAACCCCUAUUGUUAGUUGCCAUCAUUCAGUUGGGCACUCUAGCGAGACUGCCGGUAAUAAACCGGAGAAGUGGGGAUGACGUCAAAUCAUCAUGCCCCUUAUGACCUGGGCUACACACGUGCUACAAUGGUUGGUACAACGAGUUGCGAGUCGGUGACGGCGAGCUAAUCUCUUAAAGCCAAUCUCAGUUCGGAUUGUAGGCUGCAACUCGCCUACAUGAAGUCGGAAUCGCUAGUAAUCGCGGAUCAGCACGCCGCGGUGAAUACGUUCCCGGGGCUU